This 520-nucleotide ribosomal RNA is filed under the name uncultured archaeon. RNAcentral's name for it is "bacterial SSU rRNA". It matches the Rfam family "Archaeal small subunit ribosomal RNA", at positions 348 to 875 of the family's 1478-position model. The record is from RNAcentral.
CCCCCCAAACCCAAAAGUGGGACGGGGUUCCCCAAAGGGUCCCCUUUAGGACGGGGGUAAGUGAGUAAGGUCCCCCCUUAAAAAGGAAAGGGCAAGGUGGGUGCCAGCCGCCGCGCCCAAACAGCUCUUUCAAGUGGCGGGGAUAAUUAUUGGGCUUAAAGUGUCCGUAGCCGGUUUAGUAAGUUCCUGGUAAAAUCGGGUAGCUUAACUAUCUGCAUGCUAGGAAUACUGCUAUACUAGAGGGCGGGAGAGGUCUGAGGUACUACAGGGGUAGGGGUGAAAUCUUAUAAUCCUUGUAGGACCACCAGUGGCGAAGGCGUCAGACUGGAACGCGCCUGACGGUGAGGGACGAAAGCCAGGGGAGCGAACCGGAUUAGAUACCCGGGUAGUCCUGGCCGUAAACGAUGCAUACUAGGUGAUGGUACGGCCAUGAGCCGUAUCAGUGCCGUAGGGAAACCGUUAAGUGUGCCGCCUGGGAAGUACGGUCGCAAGGCUAAAACUUAAAGGAAUUGGCGGGGGA